GCCGCUUUAGAAGUUGGCAUCUCUCCUUUAAAACUCAGCGAUACGAGAGGAACAAACUGUCGCAAAAUUAUUCCAACAUGAACGCUAAAUUUCUGCUGGCUUUUACACUCGUCCUUCUUGCAACUUUCGUAGCGGAGAAUGAAGCCUUUACCGCUGGUGGAGGGGGAAAUCUUCCUUUUUCAGGAAAGCGCGACCUAGCCAAGUCUCACCAACUGGCCGGGAGAGCCUUGUGUACAGCUGCUAGAGAACACUGCAAGAGGGAAUUUGUAUUGGAGGACAUCAAUGAAUGAAGAGGUGGAGGAGAUCAGGACUGAACUGAAGCUUACUAUUGCCUCUUGUUGCUCUUGUAAAAUCACUAAUUAAUAAAGAGUGAAAUAAGAAAUCUUUA
Pocillopora damicornis (cauliflower coral) is the source of this 388-nucleotide long non-coding RNA. RefSeq lists it as uncharacterized. The record is from RefSeq and is a predicted model, not a curated record. Lineage: Eukaryota; Metazoa; Cnidaria; Anthozoa; Scleractinia; Pocilloporidae.